CUUGAGUCAAUGUAAUAUGAUUGCAUUAGCAUUUUUAUUUUAUUUUUAUCAUUGAGUUAUCUGUUUUUACUCGUGGUACAUAGCUGAAAUGAAACUGGUUGCAGUGGUAUGCCAGAAUGCAAGCUUGGCCUUAACAAUCGAGUGUUGCUAGAGGCACAAGGCAGAGCAACAAAGGGAAAAGCUAUUGAUUUGGAAGACAUCAAAUUUCAUCAGUAAAGAAGAAGGGUGAUAAAGAUGAGAGGAAGCUCAAGAGAAGGAUGACUAAUCCAAUGUAUUCUGUUUUUCUUUUUAUUAAUGGGCUUUGAUGUUUGUGGAGUUUAAUCUUUUUUUGGUUCCCAAUAAAAUACAUUAUCUGUGAUUGAACUUUCA
Humulus lupulus (European hop) is the source of this 369-nucleotide long non-coding RNA. RefSeq lists it as uncharacterized. Lineage: Eukaryota; Viridiplantae; Streptophyta; Magnoliopsida; Rosales; Cannabaceae. The record is from RefSeq and is a predicted model, not a curated record. The transcript has 2 exons.